CAUUCAGUAGCCCAGCUACUUGUUACACCCUUGUUUUUUUUUGCGUACUUAUCGUUUCCUCGGCGGGCUUGCCUGCCGGUUGGACAACUUUAUAACCUUUUUAAAUCUUCAAUCAGCGUCUGAAUAAUAUACAAUAAUUA
RNAcentral lists this unclassified non-coding RNA (140 nucleotides) under soil metagenome. RNAcentral's name for it is "partial internal transcribed spacer 1". The record is from RNAcentral.